UCCGCGGGUUGCACCUUUGUGGAGUACGACUGGCCAUUCUACCAAAAACGGAAUUGCCCGUGGGAGA
Trypanosoma cruzi strain CL Brener is the source of this 67-nucleotide small nucleolar RNA. The record is from Rfam. NCBI's taxonomy places the organism in Eukaryota, Euglenozoa, Kinetoplastea, Trypanosomatida, Trypanosomatidae.